RNAcentral lists this ribosomal RNA (500 nucleotides) under uncultured bacterium. RNAcentral describes it as "partial 16S ribosomal RNA". It matches the Rfam family "Bacterial small subunit ribosomal RNA", at positions 30 to 523 of the family's 1533-position model. The record is from RNAcentral.
AUUGAACGCUGGCGGCAUGCCUUACACAUGCAAGUCGAACGGCGGCACGGAGCUUGCUCUGGUGGCGAGUGGCGAACGGGUGAGUAAUAUAUCGGAACGUACCCAAGAGUGGGGGAUAACGUAGCGAAAGUUACGCUAAUACCGCAUACGAUCUCAGGAUGAAAGCAGGGGACCUUCGGGCCUUGUGCUCCUGGAGCGGCCGAUAUCUGAUUAGCUAGUUGGUGGGGUAAAGGCCCACCAAGGCAACGAUCAGUAGCUGGUCCGAGAGGACGACCAGCCACACUAGAACUGAGACACGGUCCAGACUCCUACGGGAGGCAGCAGUGGGGAAUUUUGGACAAUGGGGGCAACCCUGAUCCAGCAAUGCCGCGUGAGUGAAGAAGGCCUUCGGGUUGUAAAGCUCUUUUGUCAGGGAAGAAAAGGGAUUGGCUAAUAUCUAGUCCUCAUGACGGUACCUGAAGAAUAAGCACCGGCUAACUACGUGCCAGCCGCCGCGGUAA